This 274-nucleotide long non-coding RNA is filed under the name Actinidia chinensis (golden kiwifruit). RNAcentral's name for it is "long non-coding RNA (ACHI_LNC007621)". The record is from RNAcentral. Lineage: Eukaryota; Viridiplantae; Streptophyta; Magnoliopsida; Ericales; Actinidiaceae.
UCCCAUCUAUGCCUAUCUGGUCUCACUGGAUCUUAUUCCUCUCCCACUCCUCCCUUGUCUAUCUCUCUCCCGUCUAAAUUAAUGAUAAUCUCUUUUUGGUUGAUUUUGAGGACCUUGCAUUUUGAAAUUUGAUUUUAUCACACAGGCGAUGCAAGAUGAGUUACAGUAAAAUUUGUAUUUUCAUUUUCAAUUUCUAAAUGACUCUUUACAUAUGGCCUAUUAUAGGGUUGUAAAUCAAUCCAAUUUUCUCAUAUUCUAAAUAACAGAACCCAGA